RNAcentral lists this ribosomal RNA (208 nucleotides) under uncultured bacterium. RNAcentral's name for it is "partial 16S ribosomal RNA". It matches the Rfam family "Bacterial small subunit ribosomal RNA", at positions 335 to 560 of the family's 1533-position model. The record is from RNAcentral.
ACUCCUACGGGAGGCAGCAGUCGGGAAUUUUGCACAAUGGGCGAAAGCCUGAUGCAGCAACGCCGCGUGAGGGAUGAAGGCCUUCGGGUUGUAAACCUCUUUUCUCAGGGAAGAUAAUGACGGUACCUGAGGAAUAAGCCACGGCUAACUACGUGCCAGCAGCCGCGGUAAUACGUAGGAGGCGAGCGUUAUCCGGAUUUACUGGGCG